This 28-nucleotide small RNA is filed under the name Bombyx mori (domestic silkworm). Its description in RNAcentral is "piRNA piR-bmo-1627169". Lineage: Eukaryota; Metazoa; Arthropoda; Insecta; Lepidoptera; Bombycidae. The record is from RNAcentral.
UCCUUUGUUCCUUUUGUAGCGGUGCUGU